Myxocyprinus asiaticus (Chinese sucker) is the source of this 2741-nucleotide long non-coding RNA. RefSeq lists it as uncharacterized. NCBI's taxonomy places the organism in Eukaryota, Metazoa, Chordata, Actinopteri, Cypriniformes, Catostomidae. The record is from RefSeq and is a predicted model, not a curated record. The transcript has 3 exons.
UUUGGAUCAAUUAAAUGCAGCCUUGGUGAGCAGAAGAGGCUUUUCUUUUAAAAACAUGAAACAAUCUUACAGAUCUAAAAAAAUUUAAACGGUAGUGUAGGUCUAAAGUUUUAAGUCUUUAUGUAAAGAAAAUGUAUAUUCAGAUUACUUUUAACUUAAACUACAAACUACACAUUCAAUCAUUAAGUCUCCUCACAUUCAUUCUCUCUCAGGGGAGGGGUCUUUGUCUCCUCAGGUGUGAAUCACAUCAAUAUUCAUGAUCAUCCUUGCCUCCUCGCAUAUGGCCUUUCUAACACUAAAAGUGUCUUACAAAAGUUAAAUGACUAUAUUGUUUUGUAUGAAUGAGUGAUCAGGAUUGUUUUUCCACAUCAUUUUUGUAGCAAAAACUCUAGGCUACAAGAUCCAGUUCUCAAAAGUCUUGUGAACAAAUGUUUAGUAUGUGUUAUAUGGCCUUAUUUCAGUGACCAUGCAUAAACGUUAUUUUCUCAAAAAUACAAACAUGUACAUACAUGUUGUUCACAUAUUAUUGUAGCCUAGUUUGUGCUGAAAACAGUGUUAUCAGACUUUAGCCAUUAAUAUGUUUUUUAGCAACUGAAAAAAAGCACAAAUGUCAAGGCAUGUCAAAACUUCUCCAGGGCCCAAAACACCCUCAGACCCCAGAGGGUUAAGCUGUUUUCAAUCCAAAGGGGAGAAGACACACCACAGUAGCACCAUAAGGAUAGCUGCAUGCCUCAAUCCAUGCCGUUGGUAUGCACUAACUCCUAGUACCACUCUGAGUGGUGGAAGGAUUCCAGCUUACCUGGUCUCCCUAGACCUUGUCAAACAAAUCCUUAAAUCUGCUACUACCUCCGUUGUGCAACCUUCACAGAUAUACCUGGUAUAUGUUCUUGGCAGUGCAAUUCCAAUCUAUGUAAAUCUUCAGAACCUCGAAAUAGGAUUCAUCCUCAAUCUACCCAUCAUAGAAAGGCAGAAUAUAUACCAAAGGACAAAUACACAUUCUACCGCGUCCUCACGCGACUCAAGUAAGAGGUCUACAUCUGGACAGAGAUCGAUUAUUCUAGUGUGUUAUUCUUGUGUAUCAAGGUUGUUGCUUGUACAGUUUACGGACCGCAGAGUCUGCUCAUUGCUGCUAAUAAUACUCAAGGUAUUAAUGUAACUUACUGUUACCACGAAUGAGAUUUGCUGUGUUGUCGUCCAAUUACACUCUUAAAAAUUGCUGUUAAUUUACUUACAAAUAUCAACAGUAUAAUCCUGUUAUUUUUAAAUGCAGUACAUUACUGUUAAUUUUGGUUGGUUAAAUGACUUAGACGUAAUACUACGGUAUUUUACAGUAUUGAUUGCUCAAAGGAAAGAAAACAGUACUUUACAGUAUUUUUUGCAUUGCAUUUUGGGAACACAAGACUACAGUGAGCCCACACGUGUUUAAGGGGUGAUUUUUUUCACCCAUCUUCAUCUUCUGAAUUAAUAGGUGAGUACCCUUUUGCUUUGCUUUUUAGCAUAGCCAUAAACCAUUACAUUUAUGUUCAACGCUUUUGGGAAACACAGCUGUACAGCUGAUAAUGUUAAGUUUUAUGCAGGGAUGCAUGAUAUUCCUUCUCUUUUAAUCUGAAAACAUUGGUGAUACUGGAAUUGUAUCUAACUUUUAAACAUUUGUUUCAGUGGGUAACCAACUGUAACUGUGACAGAGUGCAGCUGGAUUUCUGAAACGGAUCUUCCAUAUUACAGGCACGCUGAAAUGACAGGCAUCUUCGUUUGUGUUCUGAUGAUGAUAGAAAAUCAUACACAUCUGGCAUGGCAUUAAGGCGUUUCAUCGGGAUAAAUCCUGAGAGAGGCACCAAGGCUGGACGAGGCAAAGUCCUGUCAAAACGUACGGGGAAAGUCGCCCAGAAAAAGAUGACAUCAGUCAACCCUCGUGUCUGCAGUCUACUAAAGAAACUAAUGGACUUUGAGUGGGACUUUAUAUAAGUCAGUGAACCCAGUCAUUCACACACACACUCACUCAACUCACUCAAACUCACACAACCACUCACAUAUGAACACUAUCUCACACACAAACUCACACAACACUCUCUGUCACACACACACACACAAACACACUUUCACACACACUCAACACACACAAACUCACACAAGCACUCUCACACACACACACAAACACUCUCUCUCUCUCACACACAUGCUCAACACACACACACACACACACACACAAUACACACAAACUCACACAAACACUCACACACAAACUCACACAAACACUUUCUCAGACACUCACACACACACAAACUCACACAAACACUUUCUCAGACACUCACACACACUGUUUUAGUCAUUCAUUCAGACACUUUCUCAAUUAUUUAGUGUUUGUGUCCAGAGUUCAGUGUUUGGACAGACAGAGAUUUGAUAUUAUUUGUUAUAAUAUGUAUUUAUUAUUUAUAUGGCUGAAAUGUAAGUUUAUUUACCCAAAUCAGCUUUGGGCUUUGUUUUACCAAUUGCUUUAUAAUUUUGUACUGAUGUUUUGCAAGAAUGGGGUUUUGCACAUAAAGAGAGAUGUUUUGAAAAGAUACUUUGAAGCUGUAUUAUUUGUCUUAAAAGUUUGUCACUAUAUUCAAAGGAUACACUAUUAAAACAUGGUAUUUUUUAUUGCAAGACUAAGGAAUAAUUUAUUAAAACACAAGGUUUAGAAAAAAGUAAACACAUUGUAGUCCUUUUUGCUAGCAGUCCAUUACUCAAUAGCUUAUACA